This 496-nucleotide ribosomal RNA is filed under the name uncultured bacterium. Its description in RNAcentral is "partial 16S ribosomal RNA". It matches the Rfam family "Bacterial small subunit ribosomal RNA", at positions 29 to 507 of the family's 1533-position model. The record is from RNAcentral.
AUGAACGCUGGCGGCGUGCCUAAUACAUGCAAGUCGAGCGAACAGACGAGGAGCUUGCUCCUCUGACGUUAGCGGCGGACGGGUGAGUAACACGUGGAUAACCUACCUAUAAGUCUGGGAUAACUUCGGGAAACCGGAGCUAAUACCGGAUAAUAUAUUGAACCGCAUGGUUCAAUAGUGAAAGACGGUUUUGCUUUCACUUAUAGAUGGAUCCGCGCCGCAUUAGCUAGUUGGUAAGGUAACGGCUUACCAAGGCGACGAUGCGUAGCCCACCUGAGAGGGUGAUCGGCCACACUGGAACUGAGACACGGUCCAGACUCCUACGGGAGGCCGCAGUAGGGAAUCUUCCGCGAUGGGCGAGAGCCUGACGGAGCAACGCCGCGUGAGUGAUGAAGGUCUUCGGAUCGUAAAACUCUGUUAUUAGGGAAGAACAAAUGUGUAAGUAACUAUGCACGUCUUGACGGUACCUAAUCAGAAAGCCACGGCUAACUACGUG